UGCCCUAUAGCUCAAUGGUGGAGCUGGCGGCUGUUAACCGCACGGUUGUAGGUUCAAGUCCUACUGGGGCAGCCA
RNAcentral lists this transfer RNA (75 nucleotides) under Leptolyngbya sp. SIOISBB. Its description in RNAcentral is "tRNA-Asn". It matches the Rfam family "tRNA". From Rfam's summary of the family: Transfer RNA (tRNA) molecules are approximately 80 nucleotides in length. Their secondary structure includes four short double-helical elements and three loops (D, anti-codon, and T loops). The record is from RNAcentral. Lineage: Bacteria; Bacillati; Cyanobacteriota; Cyanophyceae; Leptolyngbyales; Leptolyngbyaceae.